GAUGAACGCUGGCGGCGUGCCUAAUACAUGCAAGUCGAGCGAACAGACGAGGAGCUUGCUCCUCUGACGUUAGCGGCGGACGGGUGAGUAACACGUGGAUAACCUACCUCUAAGACUGGGAUAACUUCGGGAAACCGGAGCUAAUACCGGAUAACAUGUUGAACCGCAUGGUUCAACAGUGAAAGACGGUCUUGCUGUCACUAAUAGAUGGUUCCGCGCCGCAUUAGUUAGUUGGUAAGGUAACGGCUUACCAAGGCAACGAUGCGUAGCCGACCUGAGAGGGUGAUCCGCCACACUGGAACUGAGACACGGUCCAGACUCCUACGGGAGGCAGCAGUAGGGAAUCUUCCGCAAUGGGCGAAAGCCUGACGGAGCAACGCCGCGUGAGUGAAGAAGGUCUUCGGAUCGUAAAACUCUGUUAUUAGGGAAGAACAAAUGUGUAAGUAACUAUGCACGUCUUGACGGUACCUAAUCAGAAAGCCACGGCUAACUACGUG
RNAcentral lists this ribosomal RNA (497 nucleotides) under uncultured bacterium. RNAcentral's name for it is "partial 16S ribosomal RNA". It matches the Rfam family "Bacterial small subunit ribosomal RNA", at positions 28 to 507 of the family's 1533-position model. The record is from RNAcentral.